Molecule: non-coding RNA, 804 nt
Organism: Xyrichtys novacula (pearly razorfish)
Lineage: Eukaryota; Metazoa; Chordata; Actinopteri; Labriformes; Labridae
Source: the annotation of a GenBank genome assembly
GCUGUCUGACUGAGAGAAACACCACCAGUAUCAUUCACUGCAUGCUUACCCUGUGAGUUUGCUUUGUUUCAAUCGUUAUACAACUCAUCUUUGAUUUAUUAUCCUGAAUUAUAUAUAAUUUUACAGUUAAGAAAGGAUGCUCCUUAGUUUGCAUAUAUUUGAAUGAUUUUAGUUAUUUUGCUCUGAUAUUAUUAAUGGAAAUUGUGAUAUUGAUCAUGCUUGUAUUUUAUUGAAUUCACUUUUGUUACCCCUGUCUCACCCUCUCCAGAAAAAACAGCUGAAUGCAUACGGAAUAAAAACUCUGGAUUGGAACUCCCUCUCAUGUGCUUAGUUGUCCUUGCAGACAAACCAUUAAGCUGAAUGCUUAAACCAGCAUAACCCUUAACAGUCUAAUAUCCUUCAGCUACACUACUACUAAUCAGAAUCACAAUUAGAAUGACAAUAAUGGUGACUCUGAUUACUUCCUACUUGAAGUUCACAUUCUGGUGAAAUUAAGUCCUUAUUUUCCACACGGUCAUUUUAAAAUUCAGCUGAUGAAUCUAACUCAGCAGAUAAUGACACGACAAAAAUGACUCAUGGGCACUAUUUUAUAUUUAAUUCACUGGAAGGGCAUUAAAAAGACACCUUUUAAGAUUUUAAUUGCUUAAAAGACAUUCAGAGGGAACAUCUUAUGAGUUUUAUUCACUGGAGGGGAACAUUUAAUUUCCUGAAAGGGCAUCUAUAGGGCACUAAUCUUAGGUUUUAUCUAUUGCAGUGUCAUCCAGAAGGCACUUGGUUGUAUUUUAUUCACUGCAAAGAAAAGGC